CAUGACUUUGAUCUGCAUCCUCAUCUGGACUCUCCUCUGCUGCUGCUUCACAGAGUCCAGAGGACAGAUCACAGUGACUCAGCCUGGAGCAGUGAGCUCUGCUGUGGGAGGAUCUGUCAGCAUCAAGUGUACGACCAGUCAGAAUGUUUUUGUUCAUAGCAACAAUCACCGUUUAGCCUGGUUCCAACAGAAAGAUGGAGGAGUUCCUAAACUGCUCAUUUACUAUGCUAGCACCCGAAUAUCAGGGAUUCCAGCUCGUUUUACAGGCAGUGGAUCAAACUCUGACUUCACUCUGACCAUCAGUGGAGUCCAGGCUGAAGAUGCAGCAGUUUAUUAUUGUGUAGGUCAGCACUAUAUCAACAGUCAUCAUUCGUUCACACAGUGA
Oreochromis aureus is the source of this 385-nucleotide non-coding RNA. Lineage: Eukaryota; Metazoa; Chordata; Actinopteri; Cichliformes; Cichlidae. The record is from the annotation of a RefSeq genome assembly.